RNAcentral lists this ribosomal RNA (428 nucleotides) under uncultured bacterium. RNAcentral's name for it is "bacterial SSU rRNA". It matches the Rfam family "Bacterial small subunit ribosomal RNA", at positions 29 to 447 of the family's 1533-position model. The record is from RNAcentral.
AACGAACGCUGGCGGCGCGCCUAAUACAUGCAAGUCGAGCGAGAAGACGUAGCAAUACGUCUGUAAAGCGGCGAACGGGUGAGGAAUACAUGGGUAACCUACCCUCGAGUGGGGAAUAACUAGCCGAAAGGUUAGCUAAUACCGCGUACGCUCCUUGGACUUCGGUUCAGGGAGGAAAGCGAUACCGUGGGUAUCGCGCUCUUGGAUGGGCUCAUGUCCUAUCAGCUUGUUGGNGAGGUAACGGCUCACCAAGGCUUCGACGGGUAGCUGGUCUGAGAGGACGAUCAGCCACACUGGCACUGCGACACGGGCCAGACUCCUACGGGAGGCAGCAGUAAGGAAUAUUGCGCAAUGGGCGAAAGCCUGACGCAGCGACGCCGCGUGGGGGAUGAAGGUCUUCGGAUUGUAAACCCCUUUCGGGAGGGAAG